UGGCUAAAGCAUGGUUGGAUGAGUGUUC
RNAcentral lists this non-coding RNA (28 nucleotides) under Mus musculus (house mouse). The record is from RNAcentral. Lineage: Eukaryota; Metazoa; Chordata; Mammalia; Rodentia; Muridae.